RNAcentral lists this ribosomal RNA (546 nucleotides) under uncultured bacterium. RNAcentral's name for it is "partial 16S ribosomal RNA". It matches the Rfam family "Bacterial small subunit ribosomal RNA", at positions 355 to 891 of the family's 1533-position model. The record is from RNAcentral.
UAGGGAAUCUUCCACAAUGGACGCAAGUCUGAUGGAGCAACGCCGCGUGAGUGAAGAAGGUUUUCGGACCGUAAAGCUCUGUUGUUGGUGAAGAAGGAUAGAGGUAGUAACUGGCCUUUAUUUGACGGUAAUCAACCAGAAAGUCACGGCUAACUACGUGCCAGCAGCCGCGGUAAUACGUAGGUGGCAAGCGUUGUCCGGAUUUAUUGGGCGUAAAGCGAGCGCAGGCGGAAGAAUAAGUCUGAUGUGAAAGCCCUCGGCUUAACCGAGGAAUUGCAUCGGAAACUGUUUUCUUGAGUGCAGAAGAGGAGAGUAGAACUCCAUGUGUAGCGGUGGAAUGCGUAGAUAUAUGGAAGAAUACCAGUGGCGAAGGCGGCUCUCUGGUCUGCAACUGACGCUGAGGCUCGAAAGCAUGGGUAGCGAACAGGAUUAGAUACCCUGGUAGUCCAUGCCGUAAAACGAUGAGUGCUAAGUGUUGGGAGGCUUCCGCCUCUCAGUGCUGCAGCUAACGCAUUAAGCACUCCGCCUGGGGGAGUACGACCGCAA